This 368-nucleotide ribosomal RNA is filed under the name unidentified archaeon. RNAcentral describes it as "bacterial SSU rRNA". It matches the Rfam family "Archaeal small subunit ribosomal RNA", at positions 90 to 454 of the family's 1478-position model. The record is from RNAcentral.
UCAGUAACACGUAGUCAACAUGUCCCAGGGUUACGUUGGUAUAACCUCGGGAAACUGAGGAUAAACCGCGAUAGGUCACUACUUCUGGAAUGGGUAAUGACCCAAACCUAUAUGGCCCCUGGAUUGGACUGCGCCGAUCAGGCUGUUGGUGAGGUAAUGGCCCACCAAACCUGUAACCGGUACGGGCUCUGAGAGGAGGAGCCCGGGAGAUGGGCACUGAGACAAGGGCCCAGGCCCUAUGGGGCGCAGCAGGCGCGAAACCUCUGCAAUAGGCGAAAGCUUGACAGGGUUACUCUGAGUGAUUUCCGUUAAGGAAGAUCUUUUGGCACCUCUAAAAAUGGUGCAGGUAAUAAGGGUGUGCAAGUCUG